RNAcentral lists this ribosomal RNA (503 nucleotides) under uncultured bacterium. Its description in RNAcentral is "partial 16S ribosomal RNA". It matches the Rfam family "Bacterial small subunit ribosomal RNA", at positions 30 to 523 of the family's 1533-position model. The record is from RNAcentral.
AUUGAACGCUGGCGGCAGGCUUAACACAUGCAAGUCGAGCGGGGUGAUGGUGCUUGCACUAUCACUUAGCGGCGGACGGGUGAGUAAUGCUUAGGAAUCUGCCUAUUAGUGGGGGACAACAUCUCGAAAGGGAUGCUAAUACCGCAUACGUCCUACGGGAGAAAGCAGGGGAUCACUUGUGACCUUGCGCUAAUAGAUGAGCCUAAGUCGGAUUAGCUAGUUGGUGGGGUAAAGGCCUACCAAGGCGACGAUCUGUAGCGGGUCUGAGAGGUUGAUCCGCCACACUGGGACGGAGACACGGCCCAGACUCCUCCGGGAGGCAGCAGUGGGGAAUAUUGGACAAUGGGGGGAACCCUGAUCCAGCCAUGCCGCGUGUGUGAAGAAGGCCUUAUGGUUGUAAAGCACUUUAAGCGAGGAGGAGGCUCUUUUGGUUAAUACCCAAGAUGAGUGGACGUUACUCGCAGAAUAAGCACCGGCUAACUCUGUGCCAGCCGCCGCGGUAA